Anopheles arabiensis is the source of this 431-nucleotide long non-coding RNA. RefSeq lists it as uncharacterized. NCBI's taxonomy places the organism in Eukaryota, Metazoa, Arthropoda, Insecta, Diptera, Culicidae. The record is from RefSeq and is a predicted model, not a curated record. The transcript is spliced from 2 exons.
CGUGAAGCAUCGGCGUCAAACAGGAUCAUCUGGCUUCUGGCUAUUUGCCUCUGGUGUUACCAAAACUCUGACUGCGGAUUUAUGCCCCCGUGUGUGUGUCCUUCGUGACCUAAAUGUCCCAAGGUCCCCGCCGCCCCGCACCCCUUCCCCUGAGUUGGGCUGUAUUACGGGAAGAGGACGUGCUCAAGCGACGAACCCGUUGCAGGAGGCAGCAAACCAUGAGCAAAACGUUUUUCUCGCCUUAAUAUGAUUAAUAAAAACGAUUCAACUCGAUGCGGUUUUUUGUGUGUGUGGCGACGUACAAAAAGCGCAGCCGACACGUGGACUACUUGAGCGUGUCCUUUCAUUUUAUUUUAUUUUUUUCCUGAAAGAACAAAAAACACACAAGCCUCUAAUAAAAUCUUCAAGAGCAAGUGCGCUCCAUUACUUCA